RNAcentral lists this ribosomal RNA (407 nucleotides) under Crocinitomicaceae bacterium. RNAcentral's name for it is "bacterial SSU rRNA". It matches the Rfam family "Bacterial small subunit ribosomal RNA", at positions 1 to 401 of the family's 1533-position model. The record is from RNAcentral. Lineage: Bacteria; Pseudomonadati; Bacteroidota; Flavobacteriia; Flavobacteriales; Crocinitomicaceae.
UUACAAUGGAGAGUUUGAUCCUGGCUCAGGAUGAACGCUAGCGGCAGGCCUUACACAUGCAAGUCGAGGGGUAACAGGAGAGAGCUUGCUCUUUCGCUGACGACCGGCGCACGGGUGCGUAACACGUAUGCAACCUACCUCUUACUGGGGGAUAGCCCAGAGAAAUUUGGAUUAACACCCCAUAGUAUCAUUCUUCCGCAUGGUUGAAUGAUUAAAGGUUACGGUAAGAGAUGGGCAUGCGCCCCAUUAGCUAGUUGGUGAGGUAACGGCUCACCAAGGCUACGAUGGGUAGGGGGUCUGAGAGGACUAUCCCCCACACUGGUACUGAGACACGGACCAGACUCCUACGGGAGGCAGCAGUGAGGAAUAUUGCGCAAUGGACGAAAGUCUGACGCAGCCAUGCCGCG